AACAGGUCCAGUGGUAGUGGGUUAUGAGGUUUGUUAACAUUAGUGCACUAAAUUUAGUAUACAACCCCCCACUGCUAAAGUUUUUU
This 86-nucleotide non-coding RNA is filed under the name Otolemur garnettii (small-eared galago). Lineage: Eukaryota; Metazoa; Chordata; Mammalia; Primates; Galagidae. The record is from RNAcentral.